GAUGAACGCUAGCUACAGGCUUAACACAUGCAAGUCGAGGGGAAACGGCAUCGAAAGCUUGCUUUUGAUGGGCGUCGACCGGCGCACGGGUGAGUAACGCGUAUCCAACCUGCCCAUCACUUGGGAAUAACCUUGCGAAAGUAAGACUAAUGCCCAAUGACAUCCCACGAAGGCAUCCGAAUGGGAUUAAAGAUUUAUCGGUGAUGGAUGGGGAUGCGUCUGAUUAGCUUGUUGGCGGGGUGACGGCCCACCAAGGCAACGAUCAGUAGGGGUUCUGAGAGGAAGGGCCCCCACAUGGGAACUGAGACACGGUCCAAACUCCUACGGGAGGCAGCAGUGAGGAAUAUUGGUCAAUGGGCGAGAGCCUGAACCAGCCAAGUAGCGUGCAGGAUGACGGCCCUAUGGGUUGUAAACUGCUUUUAUAAGGGAAUAAAGUGGGUCACGUGUGACUUUUUGCAUGUACCUUAUGAAUAAGGACCGGCUAAUUCCGUG
Molecule: ribosomal RNA, 492 nt
Filed under: uncultured bacterium
Lineage: Bacteria
Description: partial 16S ribosomal RNA
Rfam family: Bacterial small subunit ribosomal RNA
Source: RNAcentral